ACUCCUACGGGAGGCAGCAGUGGGAAUAUUGCACAAUGGGCGCAAGCCUGAUGCAGCGACGCCGCGUGGAGGAUGAAGGUUUUCGGAUUGUAAACUCCUGUUAAGUGGGAAGAAAGAACACAGGUUAAUACCCUGUGGAGAUGACGGUACCACUAGAGAAAGCACCGGCUAACUUCGUGCCAGCAGCCGCGGUAAUACGAGGGGUGCAAGCGUUAUUCGGAAUAACUGGGCGUAAAGAGUGCGUAGGCGGCUUGUUAAGUCUGUUGUUAAAUUAUCCGGCUCAACUGGGUAUCGGCAAUAGAAACUGGCGAGCUCGAGGACAAGAGAGAGAAGUGGAAUUCUCGGAGUAGCGGUAAAAUGCGUAGAUCUCGAGAGGAACACCGAUGGCGAAGGCAGCUUCUUGGCUUGUAUCUGACGCUGAAGUACGAAAGCGUGGGGAGCAAACAGGAUUAGAUACCCUGGUAGGCUCUG
This 471-nucleotide ribosomal RNA is filed under the name uncultured bacterium. RNAcentral describes it as "bacterial SSU rRNA". It matches the Rfam family "Bacterial small subunit ribosomal RNA", at positions 335 to 799 of the family's 1533-position model. The record is from RNAcentral.